CUUUCAACAGACAUGUACAAAGGGGACAGACCUCUGGGCGGUCCUGGGUUAAGCUAGAGCCACCAUUGGCACAGGGGAGAAACAGGAAGUGAGGUAGAGGAGAGCUCAGGAGUGCUGGAACUUCCUGGGUGGAGGAGAGUGUGGUGGUUGGAGCCUGGGGCUUGGAGUGGAGGCCCUCAGACUGUUUCUCCAUUUUGGUCACUAGGGCUUCAAAGUUUUCAAAUGACUGAUGUCAUAUCAUUUUAUUCCUACAACAAUCCUGGAAUACUGGAACUGUGAGCAAACUGAGGCUGAGAGAGCUUUGAUGAUUUGUCCAGGACUGCAGAGCUAUGAAACAUCUAAGGUAAGAUUUCAGGAGCUUAGCUUACAAUCUGAUGGGGAAGACAGUUCACAAAAGGAAGCUGAAAAUGAGAGAGUACCAGAGCUUUAUCAGGUUAAAAAACAUAGUGAAGAUGAUGGAGCUAAAACCCAAAAGAGCAGCCAAAGGCAAAUGAAAUGAAUGACAUUUUGAACUCCAUAUAAAAGGAGGCUAUGGAUGGAGUUUGUUUGCUUCACUCUGCAGUCCUCCAAACAGAAGAGGCAGAAGAAACUGAAGAUACUGAUGAGAUGCAAGUAGGAAAGUUGAAGCAAUCUCCUUAAUUGGGAGAAAAUGUGGGGGAAGUCUACAAUAGUAAUACUAAAAUAAGAGAGUGAAACACUUAAAAAAUUGCAAAGCAGGGGCAGUUAGGUGGCUUAGUGGAUAGAGAGUCAGAUGUGGAGAUGGGUGUUCAAAUCUGACCUCACCCACUUCCUAGUUGUGUG
This 801-nucleotide long non-coding RNA is filed under the name Monodelphis domestica (gray short-tailed opossum). RNAcentral's name for it is "lncRNA (ENSMODG00000046671.1)". The record is from RNAcentral. Lineage: Eukaryota; Metazoa; Chordata; Mammalia; Didelphimorphia; Didelphidae.